AUCAGUUCAUCUCCUGAAAUUUUUGAUCCAGGAGAUCAUCUCGACUGCGAGUCUCGAGGGUCUUCUGGCAGAACAGAGGUAGGGACCCUCCGGGGGUAGAAUCGUGAUCAGACGGAGGGCUCUCUGCCCUUUGCUUCCCCUUUCCGGGGAAGACAGGGUGACUGGACCAAGUUGGUCGCCCGAUCGUCAGAUUCUGAAACUCCGACGAUGCUCUUUCCAACCUUACAGAUGCCUGCGGCUACUGCUGCAUGGCUUGCACCACUUCGGUGAGGUCCUUGACUUGCUGAACUAGCAGGUCGAACUGCUCCAUGCCGACUGUCGUUGCCGGAGGGGGAGGAGCCUGGGAAACUGGAGACGAGGCCAGAGCUUGCGAAUCUCACUGAGAUCUGGCCAUGGAGGUCGUAGAUCGCUUGGUGGAUGCCUUUCGAGGAGGCAUCAGGCGAAGAUCUAGC
RNAcentral lists this long non-coding RNA (452 nucleotides) under Elaeis guineensis (African oil palm). RNAcentral describes it as "long non-coding RNA (EGUI_LNC055818)". Lineage: Eukaryota; Viridiplantae; Streptophyta; Magnoliopsida; Arecales; Arecaceae. The record is from RNAcentral.